GCCUGAAUCAGUGUGUGUGUUAGUGGAAGCGUCUGGAAAGGCGCGCGAUACAGGGUGACAGCCCCGUACACAAAAAUGCACAUACUGUGAGCUCGAUGAGUAGGGCGGGACACGUGGUAUCCUGUCUGAAUAUGGGGGGACCAUCCUCCAAGGCUAAAUACUCCUGACUGACCGAUAGUGAACCAGUACCGUGAGGGAAAGGCGAAAAGAACCCCGGCGAGGGGAGUGAAAAAGAACCUGAAACCGUGUACGUACAAGCAGUGGGAGCCUCUUUAUGGGGUGACUGCGUACCUUUUGUAUAAUGGGUCAGCGACUUAUAUUCUGUAGCAAGGUUAACCGAAUAGGGGAGCCGAAGGGAAACCGAGUCUUAACUGGGCGUUAAGUUGCAGGGUAUAGACCCGAAACCCGGUGAUCUAGCCAUGGGCAGGUUGAAGGUUGGGUAACACUAACUGGAGGACCGAACCGACUAAUGUUGAAAAAUUAGCGGAUGACUUGUGGCUGGGGGUGAAAGGCCAAUCAAACCGGGAGAUAGCUGGUUCUCCCCGAAAGCUAUUUAGGUAGCGCCUCGUGAAUUCAUCUCCGGGGGUAGAGCACUGUUUCGGCAAGGGGGUCAUCCCGACUUACCAACCCGAUGCAAACUGCGAAUACCGGAGAAUGUUAUCACGGGAGACACACGGCGGGUGCUAACGUCCGUCGUGAAGAGGGAAACAACCCAGACCGCCAGCUAAGGUCCCAAAGUCAUGGUUAAGUGGGAAACGAUGUGGGAAGGCCCAGACAGCCAGGAUGUUGGCUUAGAAGCAGCCAUCAUUUAAAGAAAGCGUAAUAGCUCACUGGUCGAGUCGGCCUGCGCGGAAGAUGUAACGGGGCUAAACCAUGCACCGAAGCUGCGGCAGCGACACUAUGUGUUGUUGGGUAGGGGAGCGUUCUGUAAGCCUGUGAAGGUGUACUGUGAGGUAUGCUGGAGGUAUCAGAAGUGCGAAUGCUGACAUAAGUAACGAUAAAGCGGGUGAAAAGCCCGCUCGCCGGAAGACCAAGGGUUCCUGUCCAACGUUAAUCGGGGCAGGGUGAGUCGACCCCUAAGGCGAGGCCGAAAGGCGUAGUCGAUGGGAAACAGGUUAAUAUUCCUGUACUUGGUGUUACUGCGAAGGGGGGACGGAGAAGGCUAUGUUGGCCGGGCGACGGUUGUCCCGGUUUAAGCGUGUAGGCUGGUUUUCCAGGCAAAUCCGGAAAAUCAAGGCUGAGGCGUGAUGACGAGGCACUACGGUGCUGAAGCAACAAAUGCCCUGCUUCCAGGAAAAGCCUCUAAGCAUCAGGUAACAUCAAAUCGUACCCCAAACCGACACAGGUGGUCAGGUAGAGAAUACCAAGGCGCUUGAGAGAACUCGGGUGAAGGAACUAGGCAAAAUGGUGCCGUAACUUCGGGAGAAGGCACGCUGAUAUGUAGGUGAAGCGACUUGCUCGUGGAGCUGAAAUCAGUCGAAGAUACCAGCUGGCUGCAACUGUUUAUUAAAAACACAGCACUGUGCAAACACGAAAGUGGACGUAUACGGUGUGACGCCUGCCCGGUGCCGGAAGGUUAAUUGAUGGGGUUAGCGGUAACGCGAAGCUCUUGAUCGAAGCCCCGGUAAACGGCGGCCGUAACUAUAACGGUCCUAAGGUAGCGAAAUUCCUUGUCGGGUAAGUUCCGACCUGCACGAAUGGCGUAAUGAUGGCCAGGCUGUCUCCACCCGAGACUCAGUGAAAUUGAACUCGCUGUGAAGAUGCAGUGUACCCGCGGCAAGACGGAAAGACCCCGUGAACCUUUACUAUAGCUUGACACUGAACAUUGAGCCUUGAUGUGUAGGAUAGGUGGGAGGCUUUGAAGUGUGGACGCCAGUCUGCAUGGAGCCGGCCUUGAAAUACCACCCUUUAAUGUUUGAUGUUCUAACGUUGGCCCCUGACCGGGGUUGCGGACAGUGUCUGGUGGGUAGUUUGACUGGGGCGGUCUCCUCCUAAAGAGUAACGGAGGAGCACGAAGGUUGGCUAAUCCUGGUCGGACAUCAGGAGGUUAGUGCAAUGGCAUAAGCCAGCUUGACUGCGAGCGUGACGGCGCGAGCAGGUGCGAAAGCAGGUCAUAGUGAUCCGGUGGUUCUGAAUGGAAGGGCCAUCGCUCAACGGAUAAAAGGUACUCCGGGGAUAACAGGCUGAUACCGCCCAAGAGUUCAUAUCGACGGCGGUGUUUGGCACCUCGAUGUCGGCUCAUCACAUCCUGGGGCUGAAGUAGGUCCCAAGGGUAUGGCUGUUCGCCAUUUAAAGUGGUACGCGAGCUGGGUUUAGAACGUCGUGAGACAGUUCGGUCCCUAUCUGCCGUGGGCGCUGGAGAACUGAGGGGGGCUGCUCCUAGUACGAGAGGACCGGAGUGGACGCAUCACUGGUGUUCGGGUUGUCAUGCCAAUGGCACUGCCCGGUAGCUAAAUGCGGAAGAGAUAAGUGCUGAAAGCAUCUAAGCACGAAACUUGCCCCGAGAUGAGUUCUCCCUGACUCCUUGA
RNAcentral lists this ribosomal RNA (2528 nucleotides) under Escherichia coli. RNAcentral's name for it is "bacterial LSU rRNA". It matches the Rfam family "Bacterial large subunit ribosomal RNA", at positions 308 to 2826 of the family's 2925-position model. The record is from RNAcentral. Lineage: Bacteria; Pseudomonadati; Pseudomonadota; Gammaproteobacteria; Enterobacterales; Enterobacteriaceae.